UAGGGAAUCUUCGGCAAUGGGGGCAACCCUGACCGAGCAACGCCGCGUGAGUGAAGAAGGUUUUCGGAUCGUAAAGCUCUGUUGUAAGAGAAGAACGUGUGUGAGAGUGGAAAGUUCACACAGUGACGGUAACUUACCAGAAAGGGACGGCUAACUACGUGCCAGCAGCCGCGGUAAUACGUAGGUCCCGAGCGUUGUCCGGAUUUAUUGGGCGUAAAGCGAGCGCAGGCGGUUUAAUAAGUCUGAAGUUAAAGGCAGUGGCUUAACCAUUGUUCGCUUUGGAAACUGUUAAACUUGAGUGCAGAAGGGGAGAGUGGAAUUCCAUGUGUAGCGGUGAAAUGCGUAGAUAUAUGGAGGAACACCGGUGGCGGAAGCGGCUCUCUGGUCUGUAACUGACGCUGAGGCUCGAAAGCGUGGGGAGCAAACAGG
RNAcentral lists this ribosomal RNA (429 nucleotides) under bacterium. RNAcentral's name for it is "partial 16S ribosomal RNA". It matches the Rfam family "Bacterial small subunit ribosomal RNA", at positions 355 to 776 of the family's 1533-position model. The record is from RNAcentral.